This 3890-nucleotide long non-coding RNA is filed under the name Citrus x clementina. RNAcentral's name for it is "Citrus clementina (C. clementina) long non-coding RNA (CCLE_LNC003380)". The record is from RNAcentral. Lineage: Eukaryota; Viridiplantae; Streptophyta; Magnoliopsida; Sapindales; Rutaceae.
AAAAGAUAAUACUAAACUUAUUUUUUUAAAGCUGCGCGAAGCGCGGUUCUAUUUCUUAGUUAUUAAAUGUAUUUUGUGCCUAUGCUCCCUAUUCGGGUGAAAUUUUUUGUUUUGAUUAUAAAUAUAUGUCGCUUAUGGGUAAAAUUUCACAUAUUGAUCUAUACACAUACAUAAAGAGACAAAUUGAAAUGGAAUUUGUUAGAACAAAUAAAAACUUAUUUUCAAUAGACAAUGGCUAGGGAUGGCAAUGAGGUAGGGUGCUGAGAAGACAUAUCCCAUUCCCUGCCCAUUAAAAAAUUUACCUUUAUUCUUCACCCCAUUCUAUAAUAAAUUUAAUGGGGGUGAGAAUGGAAAAGUCAUUUCCGACAUGGGGAAUAAAUUAAAAAAUAUAUAUAUAUAUAUAAUUAUGAGAGAAUAUUAUGAUCAUAAUUUGAAUAUUAAGAGUGGAUUUUGUAACCUUAACACUUUUUAAAAGAAUAAUUUAUUCCUCUACAAUUUAUUCCUAUUUAAUAAUUGAUUGUUAGAUUUUUAAAUUUCUUAUGCUUCGAUCUCGGACUCAUUACUUUAUAUUAUAACUAGACAUUCUUAUAAUUAGGAGUAAUUAACAUUUUUGACUCGUGUCAAAAUACAAAAACAAAAUCACACAAGGCAUAUAACAACUUAUGGAAUCAUCUACCCUUUUACACGAUAACAGUCAUGUAACUUGCUAAAAUACACAACUAUUGUUUGGUAAAUAGUCAGAUGACAUAUUUAGUAAAAAAUAUAUUUUUUACUCUAAUAUAAUGCCAGGAUAUCAUAACAACUACAACAUUUUUUCACAUUCACACGACUGCAGUCAUGAAGUUCAUACAAACACAGCAUAAGUCGUGGAUGGAUGUAAUAGAAUGGUAGAGUCUCAUAAUAGCUGGAACAUUCUACACACUUGCAUGGAUGCAAUCAUAUAAAUUCAUACAUAUACGACAACAGUCAUGUAACUUACUAAAAUACAUGAGUAUAGUUCAUUAAAUGGUCAGAGGAUAUACUUAGUGAAAAAAUUUUUUUUUGCACUAAUAGAAAGCUAGAGUGUCAUAACAGCUACAACAUUUUUUACACUUACACGACUGCAGUCAUGAAGUUCAUACAAACACAGCAUAAGUCGUGGGAACAUGCUAAAAUACAUUACUACAGUUCAUUAAAUAGUUAGGGGGACAUAUUUCUUCUUCAAAAAAAUAUAUUUUUUGUACUAAUAGAAUGCUAAAGUGUUGUAAUAGAUAGAACAUUUUACACACUUGUGCAACUGUAAUCGCAUAAAUUCAUAAUUAUACGAUAAUGGUCAUUUAACUUAUUCAAAUACACGAUUGUAGCCCAGUAAUAGUUAGAAGACAAAUUUAGUGAAAAAUAAUAUUUUUUACACUAAUAGAAUGCUAGGGUGUCAUAACAAAUGGAAUAUUUUGCACACUUACAUAUUUGCAAUCAUGUAAAUUCAUAUAUACUCCACUCUUGUCGUGUAAAACGAGUGUAAAUAAAAUUUUGAGAACAAAAUGAGAUUUCACAAAUGUAUUUAGAAAAUCCAAUGCAUAUAGUGAUAUACUACAAAUGUAACGAAAAUGUGAGUUGUUUUAUUGUUUAUCACAGACCAAACGAAACCCUAAAAAUAAUAUAAUGUCAAGAAAAUGCAUAAAUAACACAUAAAAUAAAUGCAAAAUUUAAAAGUACCUUAUUAAUUAGAUGAAUAAUGCACUUAGUUGGAAAGUAAAAUCUCAACACAUUGGUUGUUCACGUGUAUUUUUUGUUGCGUGGGGAGAAAUUGUGUGAGGAGUGAAAAAGUUGUGAUUUUAAUGUAUGUUUUAUAUUUUUCCUGUAGGAAUAUUUUAGUCAAUACUCAACACAAAAAGGUAUAUCUACAUAAUUAUCAACUACAGGGUGUAAGUAAAUGAAUACUCUACUUUUGGGGUAUAUUUAAUUAUAAACCCCAGAAAAAAUGUAUUAGCGAUGUAUUUGUAAUUGUAAUCAGUUUGGUUUCAGUUUUGACUAUUGCCAACCUAGAUAAAACCAUUUAAUUUGGUUCUCAUGAAACCGAACAGAUUAAGUGCGGGUCGAGUUGUCCGUUCAAUUCGGAUCGUCUGUUUUUUGCCCACUCCUAUGAAGCAUUGGUACAUCCAGCCUAGAAGGAUUCCAACAAACCCAUAUUCCCCCUUUUGGGGAAAGAUUAUAGGAUUGAGCACAUAAGAAUAGGUUUCCCUUCAUUUCCUUAUGAGUUGCCCUGUGUAAACUUUAAGAAAGCAGGUUUAGUAAGGUUAGCUUCCACCUUGGUUGUGUAUAAAGAAAAUUAUUAUAUUUAUUGAUUUAUUUUCGAAGUAAAAAUAAAAAAUUAUUUUUUAAAUAAUAAUUCUAAAGGAAGUAAAAAGAUAUCUUCUUAAGUAUUUUUGUUUUUUGAAUUUUUUUAAUAACUCGUUGAUUGAUGAUACUCAAGAUAUAGUUAAAAAUUAGUUGAACUAUGAGCUCUUUUACGUUCCUUUGUGUGUUAAAGCUACUAAAUAUAAGGAGGACUUACAUAUAAAUUUUACCAAAGGUCCCCGAUACUCUAGAGCUGACUUGCAUAUGAACAUUUAGGGCUCAAAGUACUAUACUAGGAUAUCUAAAUGUUGAAGUGCUUCCUAGUAAUUAUGUUUUUCUGGGUUUGUAUUUGUAUAUAUUACUUGUAAAUUUUUCAAUUAAAUUCGAAAUUGAAGAUAAUUCUAAUUAUUUAGUUUAAAGCCCACUUUUGAACGAUGCAACGAUAAGUAAAAAUUAAUGCCCAACAAGUAUGAUGGUCCUAAUGGAAUCCUAGUAUUUUGAGUCGGAGAAUUCUCUAAAAAAAAAGCAGAAUAUUUGGUGGACGAACGGAAGAUCGUUUUGAAGAAUUGCUUGUGAAAGAUUCCUGUAUAAGAGUUCCAUUAACAUGCCUUUUGGUGUCCUAGCUGUGGAGCAACGACACCAAUCUACUUAAAACACACCAGAUUAAUAAAUUAAAAAAUAAUAGGUUCAAUUCGAUGUUAUCUAAGGAUAAGGGGGCCGUGUCUCAGUCCUAAUGUAGCUAAUCAUCCAAUUGGGCAUAUUAACAGGCUUAUUCCAUCUCAAUGUCAGCCCGCCUCAGCACUUAUACAAAGGAUUGCAUAUGGACAAUAUUGAAAUUUUGCUUUCCAACAGCACCGUUGCUAUGUUUGUUGUUGUUGGGCCGCGAAUCCUCUUCAAAGAGAGGGCGGCCUUUAGGUGAAUACCAAUUUUUACAAUUUCAUUCAAAUUGUUUCAUUUAUAUUUAGAUAAAAAUCAUAAGCAUUAGAACAGAAAUGUGGGUGACAUAUUGAUAUCGACACUGAUAUACACUUUAGUGUAGGGAUGGCAAUGGAGUAUAUAUGGAUUGGAUCUACUUUACUCCACAUCCAAAUCCAUAAUAAAAAUUAAGAUCCCUAGCUGCUUCAGAUCCAUGAUGGAUUUAUAUUUUUCACUUCAUAUCUAAAUCCAAAACAAAAAAUAAAGAUCUAUAUCUGCUCUAAAUCCAAAAAGAAAUAUUAAAAUCCAAAUCUGCUAUAGAUCCGCCAUGAAUUCUAAAUUUCAAUAAUAAAAUAUCAAUAAUUUUUUAGAAAGAAAAUUUAAGACUAAAAUACAUUGGCAACAAUUAAAUUAUAUAAUUUGUAUAAAAAAUCUAAUAAGUAUUGUAGCUUCUACUUUUACACCAAAAUAAACAAAUGAGAAAGAUAAUAAAAUAUCCAUCAAAAGUAAUUGCAGGAAUAAGAUCAUUACAAUAUUCUAAUGUCUCAUUUACCAUCCUGAUAUCCACGGCACACCAUCAUCAUUUCCUAUAUCAUUAAAUAAUAACAUAUCAUUUAAAAAUGAUUUAUUAUAUUUAGUGCUUUAUUAUUUUUAUUAUG